This 301-nucleotide ribosomal RNA is filed under the name uncultured bacterium. RNAcentral describes it as "partial 16S ribosomal RNA". It matches the Rfam family "Bacterial small subunit ribosomal RNA", at positions 509 to 807 of the family's 1533-position model. The record is from RNAcentral.
CAGUCGCCGCGGUAAUACGGAGGGUGCAAGCGUUAAUCGGAACUACUGGGCGUAAAGCGUGCGUAGGCGGUGAGUUAAGUCUGCUGUGAAAUCCCCGGGCUCAACCUGGGAAUGGCAGUGGAUACUGGCUCGCUAGAGUGUGUCAGAGGAUGGUGGAAUUCCCGGUGUAGCGGUGAAAUGCGUAGAGAUCGGGAGGAACAUCAGUGGCGAAGGCGGCCAUCUGGGACAACACUGACGCUGAGGCACGAAAGCGUGGGGAGCAAACAGGAUUAGAUACCCGCGUAGUCCCUGUCUCUUAUAC